RNAcentral lists this transfer RNA (71 nucleotides) under Cavia porcellus (domestic guinea pig). It matches the Rfam family "tRNA". Rfam says of the family: Transfer RNA (tRNA) molecules are approximately 80 nucleotides in length. Their secondary structure includes four short double-helical elements and three loops (D, anti-codon, and T loops). Lineage: Eukaryota; Metazoa; Chordata; Mammalia; Rodentia; Caviidae. The record is from Rfam by way of RNAcentral.
UGGGAUUUAGCUCAGCGGCAUAAGCACCUGCCUUGCAAGCAGGCAGUCGUGAGUUCGAUUCCCGGUACCAA